CAGCCGCCGCGGUAAUACAUAGGGGGCAAGCGUUAUCCGGAAUUAUUGGGCGUAAAGGGUGCGUAGGCGGCUAGUUAAGUUCAUGGUCUAAAUUUAAGGCUCAACCUUAAAAUGCUUUGAAAACUGGCUAGCUUGAGAGAGGUAGAGGCAAGUGGAAUUCCAUGUGUAGCGGUAAAAUGCGUAAAUAUAUGGAGGAACACCAGUGGCGAAGGCGGCUUGCUGGGCCUUAUCUGACGCUGAUGCACGAAAGCGUGGGGAGCAAACAGGAUUAGAUACCCUGGUAGUCCACGCCGUAAACGUUGAGUACUAAGUGUCGGAAGAAUCCGGUGCUGCAGUUAACGCAUUAAGUACUCCGCCUGAGUAGUACGUGCGCAAGCAUAAAACUCAAAGGAAUUGGCGGGACCUCGCACAAGCGGUGGAUCAUGUUGUUUAAUUCGACGAUACGCGAAGAACCUUACCAGGCCUUGACAUACCGAGCAAAGCUAUGGAAACAUAGUGGAGGUUAACUGGGAUACAGGUGGUGCAUGGCC
RNAcentral lists this ribosomal RNA (530 nucleotides) under uncultured archaeon. Its description in RNAcentral is "bacterial SSU rRNA". It matches the Rfam family "Bacterial small subunit ribosomal RNA", at positions 509 to 1050 of the family's 1533-position model. The record is from RNAcentral.